This 303-nucleotide ribosomal RNA is filed under the name Biomphalaria glabrata. RNAcentral's name for it is "partial 16S ribosomal RNA". Lineage: Eukaryota; Metazoa; Mollusca; Gastropoda; Planorbidae. The record is from RNAcentral.
UUUAAAUGGCCGCAGUACCUUGACUGUGCUAAGGUAGCAUAAUCAAUUGGCUUCUAAUUAAAGUCUGGAAUGAAAGGAAAAAUGGGGUAAUUCUGUCUUAAGGAAUUUUUUUUGAAUUUAUUUAAAUGAUGAAAAUAUCAUUUUUUAGAAAAAAGACGAGAAGACCCUUAGAGUUUUCAAUUUUUUUUUGUUGGGGCGACAAGUAAACAAUUAAACUUUACUAGUGUAAUAAAUCGAUUUUUUAUAAGAAUAAUUAAACUACCUUAGGGAUAACAGCAUUAUAUAUUUUAUGAUUGUGACCUC